CGCCGAUAUAUUUUUUUACCUAUAUUGAGGGUGCAUAUAUAUUCUCGGGAUCAUUUUUUUCUUUAAUAAUUUUUCACGAACGACAGAAUGUUGAACUUGGUGUAUUUGAGUGAAAUUUUGCAUACAGUUUGCAAGGUUUGUCCGACCAUGGAAGUAUAUAAUACUUCCACUUCCAUGGUCCGACUAACUACGCACACACAACCCACACGUUUACAUCAUACAUGUACAAAGCAUGCUAUAUUAAGAUUGUGUAUUGUAUCAGGAUGUUGAUUUUCUUUUUAAUUUCCACAAAUAACAGAAUGUUUAACCUUUCUUGACUGCUGCACCAAAUGUGUUUUUCAGACACAACAAUUCAAAUUGCACUGUAUCGUCCUGUAAAUGCAUGAAAUAGUUGCCACCGGACGUUGAGCAACCAUCAAUCAAUCAAUUCAAAUUGUACCUCAAUAUCACUGUUUACCAAAUUACUUUAUUCUGUAACGUCACACGUUUUCUGUCAAAUUCUAAGCGUAUCGGUCAACUUUGAAGCAAUGUAUAUAAAACACAAGGAUGAUGACAUAUGUGUUUCUAUAUAUAUAUAAAAAAAAAUAAAAGGAUGUGGUAUGAUUGCCAAUGAUACAACUCUCCACAAGAGACAAAAUGACACUGAAAUUUACAUAUAUAGGUCACUGUACUGCCUUCAACAAUGAGCAAAGUCAUACCGCAUAGUCAGCUAUAAAAGGCCCCGAAAUGACAUAUGUAAAACAAUUCAAACGAGAAAACCUAAUUUAUGUACAAAAUAAUGAACGAAAAACAAAUAUGUUACAUAGCAACAAACUAAAUUACAGACUACUUGACUCGGGACAGGAACAUACAGAAUGUGGUCAGGUUAAACUCGUUUAAAGGCGCCAACCCUCCUUUCCCCUAACCUGGGACAUAAACUGGACCCCUGUUGUGUUCCCUUAUCGUUACACUAACGGUGCGAAGCUUAAGAUGGAAUGACGGACCAGUUUAACUUGGGACAGUGGUGUAACAGUACAACAUGAGAAUAAACUGUAGAAAUCAGUUAAAAAAGGCUUAACUCAUCAGAUGGAUGCAAAUAGAAUACAUCUUACAAAAAGAGAGUGGACGUGGAAGGGUACUUAUACAUCCCAACAACCAAAAGACUUUAAGUACAGAGUACUCGCAGUUACUGACAGCUAGUUGAAAGCUAAUAACAACUAAUACAAAAAGCAUGCACCUUAGAGGCAUAAUCCGGGAUAUUAUGUUAGUUUUUAGUUUUCUCCGUAUAUAAGAACAAAGCCAUCUAUUGAAAAAUUAAAAAAAAAAAAGAAAAGUUAAAACAAAGCAUUUUCCCUGUGUAAAUUUGUCGUCAAAAUUGACGUUUUCUAAUCAAAUUUACGAAAAAACAAAAGUGGUGACCCCCAUUUUUUUUAUUACAUAUUCCGAUGUAACUCGAUUCAAAGUACAAGUGUGCCAAAAAAUUUUAGAAAUCGGGAGAUAUGCCAUUCGGUGUCGUGUUAUCUUGAAAUAUAAGUACACAGUUUUGGAUUAUGAAGAAAAAUUGCCCACUUAGAGGGGAACACGAAACUGCAUUGAAAAUGAAAAAAAAUCUGGAGCAAAAUUAAACAUGUAUACAAAUCUAGGUUAGAAAAAGACACUACUUUUAAAAAAGAAAAUAAAAAAAAUUAACAUUAAGAGAUACAAUCAUAAUAAUUUAGUGAAAUAAAAAAAGACGUAGAUAACUAGAAUGGUAUCUUCUAUAUAUGAGGGUGUGGAUGGAGUUUACAGAAUAGAGAAUAAUGUGGCUAAAAAAAUAAAGAAUAGAAAAGAAAAGGAUAGGCCAAAAAUUUAAGAAUAGAGAAUAGUGGGCUUCUACAAUAUAAAAAAUAGAGAAUAAUGGGCAAAAUUUAUAUAGAAUAGAGAAAAAAUGGCGUAAAUAAUAUUAAGAAUUGAAGAACACCCACCUCCCUCCUUUUCCAGACCCUCUUUUAUCCUAUGACUGUUAAAAGAAAGAAGCGCCGUAAUUCAUAGGAACA
RNAcentral lists this long non-coding RNA (2015 nucleotides) under Mytilus galloprovincialis (Mediterranean mussel). Lineage: Eukaryota; Metazoa; Mollusca; Bivalvia; Mytilida; Mytilidae. The record is from RNAcentral.